RNAcentral lists this ribosomal RNA (707 nucleotides) under Serratia marcescens. Its description in RNAcentral is "bacterial LSU rRNA". It matches the Rfam family "Bacterial large subunit ribosomal RNA", at positions 2242 to 2925 of the family's 2925-position model. The record is from RNAcentral. Lineage: Bacteria; Pseudomonadati; Pseudomonadota; Gammaproteobacteria; Enterobacterales; Yersiniaceae.
GGGGUGAGGACAGUGUCUGGUGGGUAGUUUGACUGGGGCGGUCUCCUCCCAAAGAGUAACGGAGGAGCACGAAGGUUAGCUAAUCACGGUCGGACAUCGUGAGGUUAGUGCAAAGGCAUAAGCUAGCUUGACUGCGAGAGUGACGGCUCGAGCAGGUACGAAAGUAGGUCUUAGUGAUCCGGUGGUUCUGAAUGGAAGGGCCAUCGCUCAACGGAUAAAAGGUACUCCGGGGAUAACAGGCUGAUACCGCCCAAGAGUUCAUAUCGACGGCGGUGUUUGGCACCUCGAUGUCGGCUCAUCACAUCCUGGGGCUGAAGUAGGUCCCAAGGGUAUGGCUGUUCGCCAUUUAAAGUGGUACGCGAGCUGGGUUUAGAACGUCGUGAGACAGUUCGGUCCCUAUCUGCCGUGGGCGUUGGAAGAUUGAGAGGGGUUGCUCCUAGUACGAGAGGACCGGAGUGAACGCACCACUGGUGUUCGGGUUGUCAUGCCAAUGGCAUUGCCCGGUAGCUAAGUGCGGAAAAGAUAAGCGCUGAAAGCAUCUAAGCGCGAAACUUGCCUCAAGAUGAGUCUUCCCUGGGCCUUUAAGGCCCCUGAAGGAACGUUUAAGACUAAGACGUUGAUAGGCUGGGUGUGUAAGUGCAGCGAUGCAUUGAGCUAACCAGUACUAAUGAUCCGUGAGGCUUAACCUUACAACACCGAAGGUGUUU